RNAcentral lists this microRNA precursor (98 nucleotides) under Nomascus leucogenys (northern white-cheeked gibbon). Its description in RNAcentral is "miRNA (ENSNLEG00000034180.1)". Lineage: Eukaryota; Metazoa; Chordata; Mammalia; Primates; Hylobatidae. The record is from RNAcentral.
AGGUGGGAGGAUUGCUUGAGCCUGGGAGGUGGAGGUUGCAGUGAGCUGAGAUCAUGCCACUGCACUUCAGCUUGGGUGAUAGAGCAAGACCCUGUCUC